This 75-nucleotide transfer RNA is filed under the name Candidatus Dojkabacteria bacterium. RNAcentral's name for it is "tRNA-Gly". It matches the Rfam family "tRNA". Rfam says of the family: Transfer RNA (tRNA) molecules are approximately 80 nucleotides in length. Their secondary structure includes four short double-helical elements and three loops (D, anti-codon, and T loops). The record is from RNAcentral.
GCGAGCAUCGUAUAAUGGCUAUUAUCCCUGCCUUCCAAGCAGGAGAUACGGGUUCGAGUCCCGUUGCUCGCUCCA